GAUGAAGAACGUAGUGAAAUGCGAUAAGUAGUGUGAAUUGCAGAAUUCAGUGAAUCAUCGAAUCUUUGAACGCACAUUGCGCCCCUUGGUAUUCCAUGGGGCAUGCCUGUUCGAGCGUCAUUUGUACCCUCAAGCCCCGCUUGGUGUUGGGCCCCGCCCGCUGUGGCCGGCCCUAAAGACAGUGGCGGCGCCGCCUGGCCCUCAGCGUAGUACAUCUCUCGCUCCAGGGUCCGGUGGCCGCCUGCCAGAACCCCCCAACUCUGUGGUUGACCUCGGAUCAGGUAGGGAUACCCGCUGAACUUAAGCAUAUCAAUAAGCGGAGGA
This 324-nucleotide unclassified non-coding RNA is filed under the name soil metagenome. Its description in RNAcentral is "partial contains 5.8S ribosomal RNA, internal transcribed spacer 2, and large subunit ribosomal RNA". The stretch from base 1 to 120 matches the Rfam family "5.8S ribosomal RNA", at positions 35 to 154 of the family's 154-position model. The record is from RNAcentral.